GUCUCUGUGGCGCAAUGGGUCGGCACAAUGGGUCAGCGCGUUCGGCUGUUAACUGAAAGGAUGGUGGUUCGAGCCCACCCAGGGACG
This is a non-coding RNA of Mauremys mutica (yellowpond turtle), 87 nucleotides long. The record is from the annotation of a RefSeq genome assembly. Lineage: Eukaryota; Metazoa; Chordata; Testudines; Geoemydidae.